GACGAACGCUGGCGGCGUGCCUAAUACAUGCAAGUAGAACGCACAGUUUAUACCGUAGCUUGCUACACCAUAGACUGUGAGUUGCGAACGGGGGAGUAACGCGUAGGUAACCUGCCUGGUAGCGGGGGGUAACUAUUGGAAACGAUAGCUAAUACCGCAUAAUAUUAAUUAUUGCAUGAUAAUUAAUUGAAAGGUGCAAUUGCACCACUACCUGAUGGACCUGCGUUGUAUUAGCUAGUAGGUGAGGUAACGGCUCACCUAGGCGACGAUACAUAGCCGACCUGAGAGGGUGAUCGGCCACACUGAGACUGAGACACGGCCCAGACUCCUACAGGAGGGAGCAGUAGGGAAUCUUCGGCAAUGGACGAAAGUCUGACCGAGCAACGCCGCGUGAGGGAAGAAGGGUUUCGGAUCGUAAAGCUCUGUUGUAAGAGAAGAACGGGUGUGAGAGUGGAAAGUUCACACUGUGACGGUAUCUUACCAGAAAGGGACGGCUAACUACGUG
Molecule: ribosomal RNA, 505 nt
Filed under: uncultured bacterium
Lineage: Bacteria
Description: partial 16S ribosomal RNA
Rfam family: Bacterial small subunit ribosomal RNA
Source: RNAcentral